This is a long non-coding RNA of Drosophila ananassae, 2494 nucleotides long. RefSeq lists it as uncharacterized. The transcript is spliced from 2 exons. Lineage: Eukaryota; Metazoa; Arthropoda; Insecta; Diptera; Drosophilidae. The record is from RefSeq and is a predicted model, not a curated record.
UCAGUUGUUGGCAAUUAAUGGUCAUAUGUUGGCAACCCAUUUAACUGGGCCAAGCUGCCAACGUGUUUCCAGGCGAGCACAAUUCAAAGGCACUGAAAGAAAUUUAACAAAAAAUGGUGUUUCAUUAAAAAGAUAUUUAUGGAAAAUAUUAAAAAAUAUUAUUUAAUAUUUCUAAGGGCUUAAAGUGGCUUAUAAAGUGGUCUAUUUAUUAAAGAAAUUAAAGAUUCUCUAGUUCUUAGCUACUCACUCAGCUAUCGAUAUCCGGUACUUCUCCUUGGCUUUUAGGUUAGAAUUUCUAACUAUAUUAGCUUUAAAAUAAAAAAAAAAUAUUUUUUGAAAGCGACACUUAAGAAAAAAUGCUAGAAAAUAUUAUAAAAUAUUUCUAAAGGCUUAAAAGGGCUUCAAGUUGUUUAUAAAAUUGUAAUUUAUUUAAAGGAUAUAUGAUACUCGGUACUAUUCCUUGGGUUCUAAGUUAGAAAAAUAUUUUAAAAAUAUUAUAAAAUAUUUGUCAAGGCUUAAAAUGGCUUACAAAAUGGUAUAUUUGUUAUAGAAAGCCUUUCAUUCUUAGUUACUCCAUUAACUAUAUAAUACCCGGUACUCCUCCUUGGGUUCAAAGUUAGAAUUUCUAACUCUAUAAGGUUUUAAAAGGUAAUAAAUGGUAUUUUAUGAAAGAAAUAUUGUAGAAAAAAUAUUCGAAAAUAUUUAUAUAGGCCUAUAAGGGAUAAGAAAAGGCUUAACCUGGCUUAUAAAGUUGUAUUUUUUAUUAAGAAAAGCCUUUGAUUCUUAGUUACUCCCUCAAUUAUAUGAUACCCGGUACUUCCAAGUUAGAACUUCCCGCUCUCAAAGCUCUAAACUGCCUAAAAAACAGUUCCUGAAACACAUACAUAAUUUGUAGCAAUGCAUCCUUUUCUCUUUGGUCCUGGAACCAUCCAUCUAUCACAUCAAAGUGACGGAAAAUAAACGCAGAGAGAGGCAGACAUUCAAUUAAGGCGGUACAAGCAGCACAAGUGUUUAUUUUUUCCAAAGGAGCCACUGCCAGUGUGGCCAAGUGGCCAGUUUCCAUUGGCCAGUGGUCCUUUCAAUUAAAGCUAGAAUAUGGAGAGUUUUUUAGUUAAAACUUUAAAAUACUAGAAAAUAUUUAAUAAAUAUAAUAUAAUAGAGUCAGGACUCUUCUCUCCACUCUUUCCUAAUUAAUUUAAUCCUUUAACCAAAAAAAAAAAUGUGAAAAUAAAUUGCCAACAAUUUGGGAAUUGUGGAUUUUUGGGGCUUUUCAUGAAACACAUUUUUUGACUUCUCACCUCUGACCUCUGACCGCAAUGCCAGGGAAAUAAAUAAUAAAAAUAUCACAAAACAGGCUGCAUAUUUUUAAUUUCCGCAAAAGGAUCAAGCCAGGAUAAUGCAGCUUCCAUAAAUAAUGAUUGGCAAAUUAUGAAAAUGGCCAGAAAACAAUGAGCCAUGGCCAGAAACAAAAAUUAAUUUCAUUCUGAUAAUAAAAAUCAGGUUGUCCUUGAAAUCAAUUUAAUGAAAAAUAUAUAUCCUUCCGACAUUUAAUUAAUCAACAAAAAUAGUUUGCUUGCCGCUCCAUUAAAAGGCCAAAAGCAAUUAACCAAGUUGGCCUGGCCCAGUCUGAGUCCUGGCCAGGACCCAUUGUCUCAGAAGAGAGAGUAUUUGACAAAAAAAAAAAGAAUAAAAGGUGAAUGCAAAUUGCUGAGCCAUCUAAUAAGGCGCUUAAUGCAAUUAAAACAGGGUCUGCCCAGUCGGACUUUUUGGUGCAUGCAUCGUGCCGCAGUCGCCUGACGCGCGCUUUUUUGCACCGUUUUCCGCUUGCAUGCAGACAUCAAGGAAAUUUUUUCCCUUUUCAAAGCAAUUGCUCUGAAAAAAAGGGGACUUAGAAAAUUUUCAUCUCGUUUGGGACUUAGAAAAAUUUUUGCGUGGGACAUUUAACUUAGAAAAAAUUUAUUCAUGCCAAAUUAUUAAUAUUAUAUUUUAUAUUAUUCAUUGAAUACUUUUAAGUUAUAGAAGUGUCAAUUUAAACAAAUUGUUUAAAUACAAAAUAAAAACAAAAAAUUUUAAAUUGAACUAAAAUAGUUUAAUUUUAUUAUUAAAAUAAAAAAUAAAGGAGUAAAAACAAAAGUUACACACCUCAAGCAAAAAAAAAAAAUUGAAUAAUAAUGUAAAUCUUAAAAAUAAAUACAUUUCUUAAUAGUGAAUUGUGUAAAUACAGAAAACAAAAAAAUAUAAUAUAAAAAAUGGGUGAAAGGGUUGCCAUCGCGUGGGCGAUAUUUUUCUAAGUGCGGGAAUCGAUAGUAGCUUUAAAGUAUGGCAACUCCCCCACCCUAUUUAUUCUAGUGCAUUUAGUUGAAUUGAACGUGUUGAAUUGCAUUUUAACAAAAGAAAUAAUCAACAAGGAGUGAUUUUUCCACCUACGACGACUUCAUUAGGGCCAUCCGGGAUGGAAUAAGGAGAGCCAAAAAUAAAAAUUAUAAGGAAAAAU